RNAcentral lists this long non-coding RNA (228 nucleotides) under Setaria viridis. RNAcentral describes it as "long non-coding RNA (SVIR_LNC003838)". Lineage: Eukaryota; Viridiplantae; Streptophyta; Magnoliopsida; Poales; Poaceae. The record is from RNAcentral.
UAGAAUCACCACGUGAGCCCUUAAUUCUUUCCUUUUCUUGCACACACAUGGCAAUAAGCUUUUCAAUGCCCCACUUGUCUGGAUGUAAGUUGUAAUUAACAACAAAAGCCUCAAACUUCUUGAGUAGGGAGGCAAAGAUCAAAUGGACUACAAACUCAUCUUUGAGCUCCAUGUCCAUAGGCUUGAUCUUGGAUGCCAUGUUACUCAUCCUCAAUAUGUACUCCCUUA